GACGAACGCUGGCGGCGUGCCUAAUACAUGCAAGUCGAACGAGAGCGCCCGGUGCUUGCACUGGUCAAUCUAGUGGCGAACGGGUGAGUAACACGUGGGUAACCUGCCCAUCAGAGGGGGAUAACAUCCGGAAACGGAUGCUAAAACCGCAUAGGUCUUCGAGCCGCAUGGCUUGAAGAGGAAAAGAGGCGCACGCUUCUGCUGAUGGAUGGACCCGCGGUGCAUUAGCUAGUUGGUGAGGUAACGGCUCACCAAGGCCGUGAUGCAUAGCCGACCUGAGAGGGUGAUCGGCCACAUUGGGACUGAGACACGGCCCAAACUCCUACGGGAGGCAGCAGUAGGGAAUCUUCCGCAAUGGACGCAAGUCUGACGGAGCAACGCCGCGUGAGUGAAGAAGGUUUUCGGAUCGUAAAACUCUGUUGUUAGAGAAGAACAAGUGCUAGAGUAACUGUUAGCGCCUUGACGGUAGCUAACCAGAAAGCCACGGCUAACUACGUG
Molecule: ribosomal RNA, 498 nt
Filed under: uncultured bacterium
Lineage: Bacteria
Description: partial 16S ribosomal RNA
Rfam family: Bacterial small subunit ribosomal RNA
Source: RNAcentral